AGCGUAGACGGAGCAGCAAGUCUGAUGUGAAAGGCAGGGGCUCAACCCCUGGACUGCAUUGGAAACUGUUGAUCUUGAGUACCGGAGAGGUAAGCGGAAUUCCUAGUGUAGCGGUGAAAUGCGUAGAUAUUAGGAGGAACACCAGUGGCGAAGGCGGCUUACUGGACGGUAACUGACGUUGAGGCUCGAAAGCGUGGGGAGCAAACA
RNAcentral lists this ribosomal RNA (207 nucleotides) under uncultured bacterium. RNAcentral's name for it is "partial 16S ribosomal RNA". It matches the Rfam family "Bacterial small subunit ribosomal RNA", at positions 568 to 774 of the family's 1533-position model. The record is from RNAcentral.